Molecule: ribosomal RNA, 654 nt
Filed under: uncultured bacterium
Lineage: Bacteria
Description: bacterial SSU rRNA
Rfam family: Bacterial small subunit ribosomal RNA
Source: RNAcentral
GGGAUUAGAGUUUGAUCAUGGCUCAGGACGAACGCUGGCGGCGUGCCUAAUACAUGCAAGUCGAGCGGAUUGAACGGGAGCUUGCUUCCGUUCGGUUAGCGGCGGACGGGUGAGUAACACGUGGGCAACCUGCCCGUAAGACCGGGAUAACUUCGGGAAACCGGAGCUAAUACCGGAUAACACCGAAGACCGCAUGGUCUUCGGUUGAAAGGCGGCUUUGGCUGUCACUUACGGAUGGGCCCGCGGCGCAUUAGCUAGUUGGUGAGGUAACGGCUCACCAAGGCGACGAUGCGUAGCCGACCUGAGAGGGUGAUCGGCCACACUGGGACUGAGACACGGCCCAGACUCCUACGGGAGGCAGCAGUAGGGAAUCUUCCGCAAUGGACGAAAGUCUGACGGAGCAACGCCGCGUGAGCGAAGAAGGUCUUCGGAUUGUAAAGCUCUGUUGUUAGGGAAGAACAAGUACCGUUCGAAUAGGGCGGUACCGUGACGGUACCCAACGAGAAAGCCACGGCUAACUACGUGCCAGCAGCCGCGGUAAUACGUAGGUGGCAAGCGUUGUCCGGAAUUAUUGGGCGUAAAGCGCGCGCAGGCGGUCCUUUAAGUCUGAUGUGAAAGCCCACGGCUCAACCGUGGAGGGUCAUUGGAAACUGG